RNAcentral lists this long non-coding RNA (584 nucleotides) under Gopherus agassizii (Agassiz's desert tortoise). RNAcentral's name for it is "lncRNA (ENSGAGG00000004674.1)". The record is from RNAcentral. Lineage: Eukaryota; Metazoa; Chordata; Testudines; Testudinidae.
UGCCUGAGGGUGGGGAGUUCAGGGGCUGAUCCUUGGCAUACCUGACCCGGUCGUCCCCCACCUCCAGGUCCCAGCAGGUGCCGGCUCAUGAGCUCUCCAUCCAUAGGCUGGACCGGACGGCGCUUGCCCAGCACCGGGCCUUCCUCACUGUGUGCCAGGCUUCAGGGUUCCCUCUCUACAAGGCCCCGGAGCACCUCCUGCCCCACAUGGCUGAGCUGAAGAAGGAGCUGCUGGCCCUGCGUGCCCAGCUGGGCUACAAGAACUGGGCACUAGCCAGCCUGCAGCAGCGCCAGGGCUCCUGGGGGACCGACGCACAAGCCCUGGUGCAGGCCCUGCGGGACCACGACCGGGAGCAGGCCGGAGCCCUGGGGCCGCAGAUCCAGCUGGUGACGGAGCAGUGCAGGCAACGCAUCGAGCGCUGGCCCGAGGUGCAGGCUGCCAUCGACGCCUGGUGAGGAGGCCCCACCCAGCUGGUUUAUGGAACGUUUUGUUCUCCAGAGCGGAGAAGCCCAGCCCAUCCUGUGCUGGGGGUCGGUUCUCCCCUGCCUGGGGUGGGGCCUGUGAGGAAGAAGGGGGCUUGCCCA